This is a small nuclear RNA of Heterocephalus glaber (naked mole-rat), 98 nucleotides long. NCBI's taxonomy places the organism in Eukaryota, Metazoa, Chordata, Mammalia, Rodentia, Bathyergidae. The record is from Ensembl.
GUGCUCAGUUUGGCAGCACAUAUACUGGAAUGAUACAGAGAUUAACAUGGCCCCUGUGCAAGGAUGUCACACAAAUUUGUGAAGUGUUCCACAUUUUU